Molecule: long non-coding RNA, 691 nt
Organism: Saccostrea cuccullata (small rock oyster)
Lineage: Eukaryota; Metazoa; Mollusca; Bivalvia; Ostreida; Ostreidae
Exons: 3
Source: RefSeq, a predicted model, not a curated record
GAACAGUCCCUCUCCCAUUUAACAGCAUUCAUGAGCAGAAAGUGCGGUACAUUGUAGUGGUUGAAUAAGGAGGUUGCUGACUCUGCAUCGUUGAAGAUGGCGGAAUAAGCAUUUGGAGGAAGCUGGACAUAUUGGAUUGGAACAACAUGCCAACAAUGCUGGAAUGGAGGGGUCUAGGUGGUCCUUCGUGUUUAUGGGUCCCAUCGGUUGUUCGCGAUGGCCACCUUUGAUGGUCAGUCUGGAGUGUUUCCUGCUGCAGUUGAAAGGUAAGAAGUGUAUAGUAGUUGUAAGUAGCAUUACCAAGGUGUUUCUUAGUGUUAGGUUUAGUUUGGUGUUGUAGUUUGAGUUAGUAAGUAGGCUUUAGUUGUUAGUUAGACAGCUUAGAGUUCUUUAGGAGUGUAGGUUGUUAUUGUAAUUAAGGUAUUUGUUAGUUAGUGCAUGAUUAGUGCUUGUGGUGGAUAGGUUUGCAUGAUUAACACGCUAACAAGCAGGGUUCUCCAUGAGCUGUUUUACUGUGUUGGUCCCGACACAGAAAAAUGUUCUCCGACACAGUAAUGAUUCAAAUUUUAUCUGUGUGAACAGGAAAAAUUUUGCCAACACAGUAAGAUCUGUGAUAAUAAGAAAAUCGAAACAUACAAAUUCUCUGUAUCUGAAACAUUAUUAAUCAAACAAUUCUACCGUCUUUCAAUUC